Molecule: long non-coding RNA, 242 nt
Filed under: Dromaius novaehollandiae (emu)
Lineage: Eukaryota; Metazoa; Chordata; Aves; Casuariiformes; Dromaiidae
Description: lncRNA (ENSDNVG00000007898.1)
Source: RNAcentral
CCUCUGCUCUUCUGCAUCUUAGGUUGUGAUCUGCUUCCUGGGUUCACAUGGUUCAUCUGUGCUUAAGCAAGCACUAGCCACUAGGUUUUCUUUCUUCUGGACCUGAUCCUAUGCUCAGUGAAGGUGAUGAAAAUAUUUCCAUUUUGUUCAAAACACUUGACAAGAUGACUGAGGCACAAGUUCAAGUUAACAGAAAAUAGAACAUCACUGUCCUCCCAGCUCCCUGAACUCAACAAGAUCUC